RNAcentral lists this ribosomal RNA (442 nucleotides) under uncultured bacterium. RNAcentral describes it as "partial 16S ribosomal RNA". It matches the Rfam family "Bacterial small subunit ribosomal RNA", at positions 338 to 795 of the family's 1533-position model. The record is from RNAcentral.
CCUACGGGAGUCUGCAGUGGGGGAUAUUGCACAAUGGGGGAAACCCUGAUGCAGCGACGCCGCGUGGGCGAAGAAGUCUUUCGGUAUGUAAAGCCCUAUCAGCAGGGAAGAAGAAAUGACGGUACCUGCGUAAGAAGCACCGGCUAAAUACGUGCCAGCAGACGCGGUAAUACUGAGGGUGCAAGCGUUAUCCGGCUUUACUGGGUGUAAAGGGGGCGCAGGCGGCCCGGCAAGCCUGAUGGGAAAGCCCGCGGCGCAACCGCGGGACUGCAUUGGGAACUACCGGGCUGGAGUGCCGGAGAGGUAGGCGGAAUUCCUAGUGUAGCGGUGAAAUGCGUAGAGAUGAGGAGGAACACCAGUGGCGAAGGCGGCCUACUGGACGGUGACUGACGCUGAGGCUCGAAAGCGUGGGGAGCAAACAGGAUUAGAUACCCCUGUAGUC